Molecule: long non-coding RNA, 20966 nt
Filed under: Capsicum annuum
Lineage: Eukaryota; Viridiplantae; Streptophyta; Magnoliopsida; Solanales; Solanaceae
Description: long non-coding RNA (CANN_LNC006122)
Source: RNAcentral
GAGGUUUGAUGUUUCAGUGUUUGACAGGCAGAGCUCGUGUGAGAAAGAAGCUUCAUGUUUCGUCAAAAAAUGUGAGCAUGCUGAUGUUGCAAGUGGAAGCAGGACAAAGAGGCAUACACCUAGAGAAUCUUCUUCACGUGAUGUGUCUGAGGCCUCUCCAACAAAGAAACCUAAGUUUGCAGCGACUCCGACAUCAGAGGACACUAGUAAAUCUUCUUCACAUGAUGAGUAUGAGUCCCCAACAAAAAAGAAAACACUUGCAUCGACUUCAACAUCUGAGGACAGUAAUGAAUCUUCUUCGCAUAAUGAGUAUGAGCCCCCAACAAAAAGACAACUAAGCUUGCAUCGACUCCAACAUCUAGAGCACGGGGUGCUAGAGCUAAUGCCAAGUUGCAGUCCUAGGGAAAUCAAAUGUUAUGUCUGGACUGAACUGGACCAUGCCAGGAGCUACAAUGGAGUUAGUAAACUGUUGCAAAAAAUGGGGAGGUAGUGGAAUACAUAAGAAAUGGACUAUUCCAGCUUUUGUGUGGUGGACUAUAUGGCAAGAGAAGAAUGAAAGAGGCUUCGAAGAGAGUUCAGACAUUGAAGAUGAACCGUGUAAAAUACUUAUAUUUUUGGUGCUAAGAAAGAUGUGUAGAAGAUAGAGAACAUUUAUUAAGACUACCUAGAGUCUGUAAAAACUUUGUAAGAAGAACAAGGUUUUAUUUUAAAUUACUACAGUUUGCUUAAAAAUUAAAGUUGGAAAAUUUGACUAUUAAGAACACGCACGUAAAAAAAAUGUGACCAAAAAGGUGAUUUUUCAUGGCAUAUAACUCAUAUUAUUUCAAGAGAAUCAUUCUAGAUAGAGAGCAAUUAUAAGAAACUACAUUUAGAUGUAAGCUGUUCCAGGAUAUUUGACCUUCCAUAGCUAGACAUGGCUGAUGUAAUGAGACAAAUGUUCCAGCUAAUUUCUCAACGCAAGCAUUGUAAGAAAUGCCAUCCAUCCACACCAACACAAGAAAAAAUUGAGUGUUUCGGCCUAUUAUGAUCAGUUGAACCAUUUCAACGCGUCAUUCAUGUAAAACAGCUGGUUCUUAAGAUUUUCUUUCUUCAUCAGCAAUAACUGAGGAGAAGACAAGUACAACUGACCUAGUGAUGGAUGGUAUUGUUGCCACAAGCCAAGCACAUGCAUAUAUCGAAAUCAAAGUCUUGGUUUUGUGUAAUGACCCUUACAGUCAUUUUAUUGUAUUUUUAUAUAAUUUUAGUACUAUCUAAAUGUAUCAUAGAUUAUUCAAUUUAACUUGGCAUUUGGUAGAAAUAUAGUUUAGUACUCUUCUAGUAUAUUUUCGAUAUUGGAAAAAUUCUUCAAGUAAUGAUAUAAUUAUAUCACUUUAUAAUAGACUUUUAUGAUUUAUUAAUAUUUUAAACGGAGAUAGUAAUUUAGAAUUGUGAAAAUAUUAUUAUUAUAUAAUAGAAGUUUUGUUAGAAAUAAUUUUCUAUUAAUUAUGGUAUAUUCAAAAUAUUAUAAUUAUUCAGAUAAGAAGGUGCCGCCUAAGCUUAAAGGCAAAUUCUACAGGGCGGUAGUCCGGCCGGCCAUGUUGUAUGGAGCAGAGUGUUGGCCAGUUAAGAACUCCCACAUCCAAAAGAUGAGGGUGGCAGAAAUGCGGAUGUUGCGCUGGAUGUGUGGGCUGAAUAGAGGGGAUAGAGUUCGGAAUGAGAACAUCCGGGAGAAGGUUGGUGUGACACCAGUGGAGUGCAAGAUGCGGGAAGCCCGAUUGAGAUGGUUCGGACACGUGAAGAGGAGGGGCGUGGAUGCCCCGGUCCGUAGGUGUGAGAGGCUAGCGUUGGAUGGGUUUAAGCGGGGUAGGGGUAGGCCGAAGAAGUACUGGGGUGAGGUGAUUAGGCGAGACAUGGAGCAGUUACAGCUCACCGAGGACAUGACCCUAGAUAGGAAGGUCUGGAGGACGCGAAUCAGGGCAGUGGACUAGGGCCAGUCUGAGUCGCUAGUAUAGGGAACUACUUGGUGGGGGUUUAUUCCUGUUAGGAGUCCGUGUCCCAUGUUGUAUUAUGAAGCUGUGUGCUUUCCUCUGUUUUAUAUUACUUAUGGGUGCCGUAUUUAUGUUAUGUAAUCUUGUAACCUUGUAACCUUGUGCUGUGCUUUACUAUGUGUUUGUGUGGUACCGCGUGUCUCGAGCCGGGGGUCUAUCGGAAACAGCCUUUCUACUUCUUCAGAGGUAGAGGUAUGGACUGCGUACAUCCUAACCCCCCAGACCCCACCAGGUGGGAAUACACUGGGUUUGUUGUUGUUGUUGUUAUUUUAUCAUGAAUUUAUGCAAUACUCGAAUAUAUAUAUGUUGUAUAGAAAAUUAAUGAAUGUGGCCACCACCGCACACUUGGAAACGGAUGGAUGAACCACAUGUUGCUGCCACUUGUUAGACCACCAUAUGAUAUCAUUUGGUGUUUCUAAAAGUAAAACAAAUAAGGAGAGUGGACUUCCAUUCACUGCUUCUAUACAUAUACUUGUCCAUAUCUCUAUUUUCCCAUAUAUUGGCCUUUCUCUAUUUGCUUUUUUUUUAAAAUUAUUUUAGAAAAUCAAUUAAAGUUCUUGGUUAGUCUUAUAAAAUUUCAUAUAAAUUCAUUAUUCGAAUCUAUUAAUCAAGCUUGGGUUCUACUAGUAUUAUUCGGAGGCUUCGCGGAUAGAUAUUCUAAGCUUGGGUUCUACUAGUAUUAUUCGGAGGCUUUGCGGAUAGAGAUUCUAACUUUGGCGUCCAGGUAGGCUAGGUUUACCCUACCUUUAGAUUGAGUUUAUUUACUGAAAUUGUAAACUAUUAUGCUAGCGUUGGAUAGGUUCUUGUAGAUGCGUAUCAUGUGAUUUAUAUAAAUUAUCUUAUUUAUCCGGAUUAGGACCCUGUUCUAGUAAAUAUUGGAAUAUUUUUUUUAUAUAUAAUAUAGCAUCUAUUACUUUAGGAUGUGAAACUAAAAUGUAAAAAUCUUGAAUUUAUCCCUUUUUAAUUAAAAUUGGUGGAUGAUUAUUUAGACGUUAACAUUGUUAUGAUAUGAUAUGGAUUUUAACAUUACCGUUGGGUAUGGUUACUAUGAGUUCCAUUUCGAGUUCGGCAUCUGAUUAUUAUGGUUACUAUGAGUUCCUGUUUGAGUCCGGCAUCUGAUUAUUAUGGUUACUAUGAGUUCCGGUUCGAGUCCGGCAUCUGACUAUUAUUGUUACUAUGAGUUUCGGUUCGAGUCCGGCAUCUGACUAUUAUUGUUACUAUGAGUUCCGGUUCGAGUACGGCGUCUGAUUAUGGUUGUGAUUACUUUGAGUUUCGAUUUGAGUCCGGCAUCUGAUUAUGAGUUUUAUAUAUCUGGCCUCUCGUUACUACCCAUUGGUAUCAGUUCGAGUCCGGUGCACAUCUGGAUGACUAUCAUGAUUUCUUAAGAUCAGUUCGGUUACAAAUUAUUUAUGUUUACUUUCUUUAAUUGCUACUUGUGUGUCCCACUGGCUUAUGGGGGUAUGGUUGGGUUAAUUGUGUUUUUCAGUGUGCCUAACGGGCUUAUGAGGGCCUAGUUAGGUUAUGUUGUGUGCCUAGCGGGCUUAUGGGGGCCCAGUUAGGUUAUGUUUGAUUUGUCUGUAAUUACUGCGUUAUUUAUUUUCUGUAUCGCUUACAGUUAUUUCUCUAUCUCAUUGGCGUAGCUUAGUAGUUAUUUACCUUUCCAUCAUUUUUUAUUGAUGACUUAGAUUACGCCCGCGCGUUGUAGUUAAUACCUUUUCUGUAUUGAUGCGUUGUUUUUAAUACUCAUAUUACACUUCUGCAUCUUUUUUCCUGAUGCAGAUCCAGGCCCUAGUAGUCGACGUUGACGUGAUUACUACCUUCUAGUACUGAUUCGGAGCAGGGUGAGUUUACUGUUUUCCAAGGCUGAUCCUUCUCUAUCUAUUCUGGUUUAGUCUUUUGUAUUCGAGACUGCUUUUGUAUAUUAUGUACAUUUUAGAUUUUUUUCUAAUACUCUAGGUAUAUUUUAGUAAUGGCUCUAGUACCGACCUUACCAGGUCUUGGGAGGGAUUCUUUUGCGUACUUGGUAAUUUUUUUUUUCUCAUUUUAGUAUAUGAGAUAUGGUUACUUUUUAUUACUACUACUAUCAUUAUACUCGAUCUUUUCUGAUUUCUGCCUAUUAGCCCGUUAUCUAUUAUUUCGGGCAAUGGCUUGGCUUGCCUACUAGAGGGGAUAAGGUAGGCGCCAUCACAACUUGAUAAAUCGGUUCGUGACAAAUUGGUAUUAGAGCUUAGGUUUCACCGGUACUGUUGGUACUAGAGCCAAUAUUUAGUAGAGUCCCGCAGAUCAUCACAGAGACGUUUGUAUCCUAUCUUCGGGAGGCUACAGAGCAUUUUUUUGGGAACAAUCUCAUUUUCUUGAUUCAUUUUCGUACAUUGGGUCUGAGUUGAUUUUAAUGUUUAUUGGUUCACUCUUUACAUAGAUAGUUAGGAUGCGAGGAGCGGGAGUCGGAUAUCGGAAUCCCAGUUCUUCUUCAAUAGUUUUAGUUAGGGGUCUAGGUCGACCCAGAGGUCAGGGGUCAGACCAGUUAUAUUGGUUCUAGUGGUUAGAGUAGCAGUAAGUCGUAGUGGGGUACUAAGUCAGCAUCUUCGAGUAAGGGUGGUCAUUCUAGUCCCGCCAGAUCUUCUAGACAGAGUAGGGUGCCCGGGGUAUGUUAUGACAGUGUAGUUGUUGGUCACUUCACCCGUGAGUGUCCUCGGUGUAGGAUGAUUGAUCCAUCAGUUCUGGAUGUGUAGCCGAUUAGAUCAAUGCCGCCGUUAGGUAGGGGUGGUGUACAGGAUCGUGGAGGUAGUUCCCAGGGUACUAGAGAUGGUCUGCAGGGAGGUAGGGCAGGUGGUCGGGCAGGUACCCAGUCUAGUAAUGGACAGGGUAAUUUGUAUGCUGUUCUAGGUAGAUCAGGGGAUGAGGCUUCGGAUGCUGUGAUCACGGGUACGAUUUUCGUGUUCCAUCAGCCAGCUUCUGCUUUGUUUGAUCCCGGUUCUACCUUUUCAUAUGUUUCUGCUUAUUUUGCUUCGCGACUGGGUUUAUGUUCGGAGUCUUUAUCUGUGCUGUUACGUGUGGCUACCCUAGUGGGCGAUUCUUUAGUAGUGGAUCGGGUAUAUAGAUCUUGUUUGGUGACUAUUCGAGAGUUUGAUACUCAGAUUGACCCCAUUGCACUAGAUAUGGUUGAUUUUGAUGUGAUUAUAAGCAUGGAUUGGUUGUGUCCUUACCAUGCGGUCUUGGAUUGUUUUGCUAAGACCGUUACUUUAGCUUUGCCUGGCAUACCCCCUAGUUGUGUGGCAGGGUUCUGUUAGUCGCGCACCAACGGGGAUUAUUUCAUACAUCCAGGCUAAGAGAUUGGUAUUGAGGGGUUGCGAGUCAUUUCCUGCCUAUAUUCGGGAUGUAAGUGCUGAGAGUUCCCCGCUUGACUCCGUCCUUGUUGUUUGGGAGUUUCCUGAUGUAUUUUUGACCGACCUACUUGGCCUUCCUCCCGAGUAUGAUGUAGAGUUUAUCAUUGACCUUGAGCCAGGCACCCGACCUAUUUCUAUUGCUCCAUAUCGUAUGGCUCCUGCUGAGUUGAAGGAGCUGAAUAGUCAGCUUCAGGAUCUUCUGGGUAAGGGUUUUAUCAAACCGAGUGUAUCUCCUUGGGGUGCUCCAAUUUUGUUUGUGAAGAAGAAAGAUGGCUCCUUGCAUAUGUGUAUCGACUACAGGCAGUUGAAUAAGGUUACUGUGAAGAAUAAGUAUCCUAUGCCUCGUAUUGAUGAUUUGUUUGAUCAACUUCAGGGUGCGGCAGUGUUUUCUAAGAUUGAUUUGAGGUCCAUUUACCAUCAGUUGAGAGUUAGGGCUACAGACAUCCCUAAGACAACCUUCAGGACUCGUUAUGGUCAUUAUGAGUUCCUGGUGAUGUCUUUUGGGUUGACCAAUGCUCCAACAGCUUUUAUAGAUCUGAUGAAUCGCGUGUUCAGGCCAUAUUUGGACUCCUUCGUGAUAGUAUUUAUUGAUGAAAUUCUAGUAUAUUCGAGGAGUAAGGAGGAGCACGAGCAGCAUUUGAGGACUGUACUCCGCACUAUGAGAGACCAGAGGCUUUAUGCCAAGUUCUCAAAGUGUGAGUUUUGGCUUGAGUCUGUAGCUUUCUUGGGGCACGUAGUGUCCAAGGACGGUAUUAUGGUAGACCCAACCAAGAUUGAGGCUAUUCGUGGUUGGGAUAGGCCUACUUCACCUUUUGAGGUUCGCAGCUUUAUUGGGUUGACAGGUUACUACAGGCGGUUCAUUGAGGGAUUUUCUUCUAUUGCAGCCCCUAUGACUAGAUUGACCAGGAAGGAGAUUCCGUUUUGGUGUUCUGCGAGUUGUGAGGCGAGCUUUAUGAAGCUCAAGGAUUUGCUUACUUCAGCUCCUAUUCUGAAUCUUCCUGUUGAGGGCGAGGGUUUAACUGUCUAUUGCGGUGCGUCUAGUGUUGGUUUGGGGUGUGUUCUAAUGCAGCGUGGCCGUGUUAUUGCAUAUGCAUCGAGACAGUUGAAGGUGCGUGAGUGAAACUACCCCACUUAUGACUUAGAGUUGGCAGCGGUAGUAUUUGCGCUUAGGAUCUAGAGGCAUUACUUAGAUAGGGUUCGUUGUGAGAUAUUUACUGAUCAUCGCAGUCUGCAGUAUAUUAUGACCCAGAGGGAGCUUAAUUUGAGGCAGAGCAAGUGGAUUGAGUUGCUGAAAUAAUAUGAUAUCUCUAUUCUCUAUUAUCCGGGCAAGACGAAUGUGGUAGCAGAUGCCUUGAGUCGAAAGUCAGUGAGUAUGGGUAGCUUAGCGUUCAUUGCAGCUUCUCAGCGGCCGUUGGCUUUGGACAUUCAGCCCUUAGAUAACAUGAUGGUUCGUUUGGAUAUUUCUGACCCUCAGGGAAUCAUUUCUAGUGUUGAGGCCAGAUCUACCUUGUUGGAGAAAAUUCAGAGUCGUCAGUUCGAGGAUGGCAAGCUUCGUAGCAUUUGAGAGCAGGUGUUGAGGGGUGAAUUUCAGCAGGCUACCCUAGAUUUUGAGGGUGUCUUGAGGUUUGACGGUCGUAUUUGUGUUCCAAGGGUUAGGGAUUUGAUCUAGUUGAUUCUUCGUGAGGCUCAUAGCUCCAGAUACUCUAUUCACCCCGGGACAGCUAAGGUGUAUAGAGAUUUGAGGCAACAUUACUGGUGGAUUGGUAUGCGGAAAGAUAUAGCAGGGUUUGUGGCACGAUGUAUUUGUUGUCAGCAGGUGAAGGCCGAGCAUCAGAGACCUGGUGGAUUGCUUCAGCAGCUACCCAUUCCCGGUGGAAGUGAGAGGGAGUUACUAAGGAUUUUGUAGGUGGAUUGCCUCGUACUUCACGUGGUUUUGAUAGUAUUUGGGUUAUCGUGGAUCGAUUGACCAAGUCUGCACAUUUUAUCCCUAUUCGAGUUUCCUAGAGUGCCGAGAGGUUAGCCCGUGUUUAAUUUCAGGAGGUGGUUCGCCUGCAUGGGGUUUCUGUGUCCAUUAUCUCUGACCGAGGCUCUCAAUUCACUUCUAGCUUUUGGAGGACAUUUCAGGAGGAGUUGGGAACCCAGGUAGACCUUAGCACAGCCUUUCAUCCCCAGACGGAUGGGUGGUCAGAGCGGACUAUCCAGGUCUUAGAAGAUAUGCUACGCACUUGUGUGUUGAAUUUUGGAGGUUAGUGGGACUAUUUUCUACCUUUGGCAGAGUUUGCAUAUAAUAAUAGCUUUCACUCGAGUAUUCAGAUGGCCCUAUCGAGGCAUUGUAUGGUAGGCGAUGUCGUUCUCCUAUUGGUUGGUUUGUGUAAUGCCCCACAAAAUCCUCUUCCAAUCUGAGCCUUAGAGCGUAUUUGGUAAAGCGAGAAUCUGAGUCUAAAUGUUUUAGAAAUAUCUUCCCAAGUAUGAAAUAGUUUGAAUCGUGUGGGAAUCUAUUUGAGCAUGAAUUAAGAUCAUAGAGGUCCCCUAACUCAAGGACGAGUUGAAAUCUUUCCUAUUGUUCAAGUUUUAGUGAGCGCCAAAACUUUGGUAAACUUCAAUCGACCAUAACUCUUUGUAUAUAUCGAAUUAGAGGACCUACUAUAUAUCGAAUGAAAUCUCUUUGAAUUAUCUUUCCAACGAUACCAAAUUCGUUAAAAAUUGAUAUCGGAGCAAAGAGUUAUGCCCAUUUUACUCCAGCAAGUCAUGCUGGAAAACUGAGUGACGACAUUCGUGAUAAGCCGUCACGCCCGUGAUGACCUAUCACCAAUGUCGUCAACCUUGGGCAGAUUUGUACCCCUGGUGACGACAUUUUGUGACAAGCCGUCACGCCCGUGAUGGCCUAUCACCAAUGUCGUCAACCUUAACCAGAAACUUAAAAUUUCACCCGAUAAUUCGUGACGGCCUAUCACCAACUUGACGGCUUGUCACAGAUGUCGUCGGCUAUUUUUUUCAGCAAUUUAAGGACGUUUUUGCAAGGGUAUUUUGGUCAUUUACCACUUUUUGGAGGUCUCUAUAAAUAUGAGCAUCCACCUCUAAACCCUAAUUUCUCUAUCUUCUCUCUCAAUUCUCUUAAGAAGAUAUAACUAGGGUUUAUUCAAGAACACUAAUCUUCCAAAAAUCAUCCAUAAAUUCUUCAAAAUUUCUUCAAGAAUUAAGUUCCUCUUAGUGUGGGCUUCGAGAAUUAUUUAUUACAAGUGCGGAUAGAGUCUCAAGCAUUAGAAUUCAUCCAAUUUCAAAGAUUAAGGUAUAUAGAUGUUGAUUCUUGGGUCCCUUUCAUCCAAGAAGCUCAAGAACCCUUUUCAAAACUCAAAGAUUUUUAUGUUUAUGAGUUUUUAAUGAUUUGUAUGAGUUGAAAUUGAUGUUACAUGUGUUGUUGAGUUUUGAUUCAUGUUUGUUUACAAGAUUCAUGGGCCUUGACCCUAGUAGGUGGAAUCCAUGUGAAAUUUGUGAUGAAUCUUCCUUAUGUUGCUUUCUAUGUGAUGUGUUCAUAUCAAAUGGGUGUAGAAAUGGUUGAAUAAGCGAAGCAUGUUCCCCCUAGGUUUAAUAAAGAGCUUAGGUGAAGCAUAAGGGCCAUUGUAGCAUGUUGAAGAUGAAACCCCAAAUUAUGAGUUAAUUUAUGCAUGCCUAGUGUUUGAUAAAGUGCCCAAGUGAAUGAAUGGUAGGAAAUCCCCAAAUAAGUGUGAACCCGUGCAUGUCUAGUGUUUGUUGAAGGACCUUAGUGAAUAAGUGGAUAUGUGAUAGUAGUAAAUUCCCCAUUAUGUGCUCUUGAUACAUGCUAAGUUUUUUAUACAUGCCAAGUGGUUAGCAAGUAAGUUAUGACAUGAUAGUAUGAAGUUUCCCCAAGCCAUGUGAUAUCCAAACACAUGUCAAGAAUGAUUUAGGUAUGAAAUAGUUGAGGUAAAACCUUGUUGAAUGGAGUACGAUCUAGUAGCAUGUUUUCCCUACGUUAUUAUAUGAUUGUGAUUCAGAGAUGCUUAAAGUGACCCCUUGGCGAUUGUGAUGAAUGGAUGUUUGUGAUCCUCAAAUGCUUGAGGUAUGUCUUAAUGACUGUGAGAUGCUUUAAUGAUUGUGAUGAUAAACGAAUGCUUGUUUAGUUUAGAUAAUGUGCAUGCAUGAGCCCUUGCAUUAGCCUACCUCGUCUACAUACUCGGUACAUUCCUGUACUGACGCAUUUGGGCUAUGGUGUUUUAUUUGACACCAUAGGUUCAGAGGCACAGGAUCCAGAGUAUCCUCAGCAGUUUAGUCCCAGUCAGCAGCAGUAGCAGUGAGUCCUCUUCUUUCGAGGACGAAUCUCAGUUUACUAUUAUUGUUUCAGACUUUGUUUAUUUUUAGUUGACAGAGUUAGUUGGGAACCUGUCCCAUCAACUCCACAGUUCAGACGAUUUAGAGUUUUUUCAGACGGAUGUAUUAGUAUUUAGUUUUCUGUAUUAUGAGUAUUCAUAGAUGUGUUGAACCUUAUGGCUAGUUUCCACAUUUAUUUUCGAUAUUAUGCAGUGUACAGGUACAUGUAUUAGUAAAGGAUUAGCUUGUGGUCCUUCGAGGUCAUAAGCACCGUGUGACAUCUUGGGAUGGGAUCCCGGGGCGUUACAGUUUGAGACUUCUGAGGCUAUGCCUCGUGGCACAGAUUUGCUUUGUGAUUUGUUGGAUUGUGUUCGAGCGAUUCAGGAUAGGCUACAAGCAGCUCAGAGCAGACAGAGGAGUUAUGCUGAUCGCAGACGUCGUCCAUUGAGUUUUAUAGUUGGUGAUAAGGUCUUUUUGCAAGUAUCGCCAUGAAGGAUGUGAUAAGGUUCGUUUUAGUAUAUGAGAUAUGGUUACUUUUUGUUUGUUACUUUUUAUUACUACAACUAUCAUUAUACUCGAUCUUUUCUAAUUUCUGCCUAUUAGCCCGUUAUCUAUUAUUUCGGGCAAUGGCUUGGCUUGGCUUGCCUACUAGGGGGAUAAGGUAGGCGCCAUCACGACUUGAGAAAUCGGUUCGUGACAUUUUGUUUUUCCGAAACCACAGUAGAGACCCUAAGAGUGCCAGUGAUAUACGAAAAAACUGAAAUGACAAUCAUAGAAUAAGGCGAAAAGUAGCAAUGUAGGGCAUUGCAUUCAAGGUGCUCAUUGAUUUAUGAAAUUCAAUAACUAAUGCUGUUUAUCCCUUUUCGCUUGUGUGCGCGUAUAUUUGUUUAUUUCCAGGUUGGGAGGGGUUUUGAAGAGUAGGGGGUGUUUCUCUUUGUACUACAAAGGAGCAUUAAUUUGACAAAAUUUUUUUUUACCAAAUUAACAUUAGUGUCUAGGCUGUGCAAUACUUAGUCCCAUGUAAACUCCAGUCCUCUAGCAGCCACCCAAAGAGGUGCCAAAUCUCAUGUUAGAGAGGCGUGUAAAGGAAUGCGAAAUAUUUUCUUGAAAAAUAAGAUGGUGAUGGUACCUAUCAAGGAGAUGUCCGACGUGUUUACUGUGAAGAAGAGAGAGAAUUUUCAAAUGGUUCGUGGGUGAGGCUAAAGAGGGGGACUUACAAAGGAGAUCUUGCACAGAUUGUGAAUGGAGAUGAUAUACGUCGAAGAGUGACCGUGAAGUUGAUUCCCAGGAUUGAUUUUCGGGCUCUGGUUAACCAGUUUGAUGGUAUAAAAAUACCGAAGGAGGAGAAGUUCUUCCCUCCCGCGAGAUUCUGGAGUGCUACUAAAGCUAAGGCGUUGGGGAUUCCAGUAACGCGGCAGAAAGAUUCGGUUACUGGUGAUUACUUUGAUACAGUGAAUGGUAUGAAGUUUCUGAAAUUCAAGGAUGGGCUUUUGUAUAAGUCAGUGUCCAUUAGGUCAAUUGGUUACAAGGUUCAUCCAACUCUGGAUGAUCUAGAGAAAGAUUAUCUUUUUCCACAUUGCCCGUGAAAAAUCUGAGAAAGAAACACUUCAAGGAAGGAGAUCGAGUGGUUGUUCUGAAAGGAGAACUAAAAACCAUACAGGGAAUAGUUCUGAGAGUUGACGAUGAUGUUGUUUACCUUAAACCGGAGAGUGAAGGUCUGCCUCAGAGUGUUGCAAUUCACAGCAAAGAUUUGUGCAAGAUAUUUGAACUUGGAGAUUAUGUUAAAGUUGUUUCUGGUGGUAAGGAAGGAGCAACUGGUGCUAUUACUUCAGUUAAAGGACAUGUAGUCACUGUAUUGCCUGACAAAUCUAUCAACACAUUUGAUGUGUUGGCUGAUCAUGUCGAGGAAAACUCUGAGGUUGCAUAUUCUCGAGUACCACCAAGAUCAGUAUCGAUACCCAAUGUCAGACCUCUACCUCCUCCAAAGAAAGGAAAUGUAUAUGGAGAUGUAAGAUCAGCAUCAAUAGCCAAUUUCAGACAUCCACCUUCACCUCAGAAGAAAGGAUACGGCUUUGGAAGAGCAAGGCGUGAUCCAUUGCUGAAUGCUCGAAUCAAAAUCCGUCAAGGACUUCAUAAUGGAAUGGUUGGGAGAGUUGUUGAAGUUAGAGGGCAUAGAGUCAGGGUAGAAUUGGAGGCUCAGAUGAAUCAUGCUUAUGUUGAUCGAAGUGAAAUUUAUGAGAUUGGGGAAGCGGAUAACUCUAUUUGCCCGGAAGAACACUAUGGUCUGGGGAGUGAAACUCCUGUGUAUUGUCUAAGAACACCACUCCGUCCAUGGAUGACUCCAGCAAGAGAUGCACCUGCAAAACCUAUUCAUGAAGAAAUGAGAACACCUAUACGAAGUUGAGCAUGGAAUCCUUGCAGCUAAUUGUAGUACUUAGUAUUCUUUUAGUCCUUACUUAUUCCUAGUUUCUUCUUUCUGAAUGUAAACACACAUUACGUUUACUCUGCAAUAUAAUAUUUGGUAGUUCGAUAUGCAGAGUUGGUUUUACGCUAAUGGCAACAUUUAUAAGAGUGAUAAAAGAACAGGUUCUAAUGAAUCUAAAGUAGUAACAAAACUAGUGCUACUGUAUAUCAUUCUUUCUACAGUGAAAUACUGAUUUCUCAUUCCAGAAGAUGUUUCAAUUUCUGUUUUUAUAUAUGCAGAACAGAUGUUUCAUGGAAAUUGAACUAAGAUGCUUGACUUAUUACAAAGACACUUCUUCUUGUGCCAGUAUUUUAUAAGUGCAAGCUUCCUAAAGUAAAAUACAGUGGUUUCAUUUCAUAUUUUAUUAAUAGGUGCAUUUGGAAUCGAUUGAAGUUGUAUUACUGAUAAUUGAUUUUCAUGUCACAGUGUUCGGCAACUUAAAAAGGGAGGACAAGCAGAUAGCAGCUGUCUCCUUUACGUGGACGUAGAAGCUGUGGCAACAUUGCUACUUUUCUCCUUAUUCCAUGAUGUCAUUUCAGGUCUUCUGGCAGCACUAGGUCUCUAUUGUGGCUUCGCAAAAACGAACCCAAGACUUUGAUUCCUAUAUAUAUGCAUCUGCUUGGCCUGUGGCAACAAAUACCACCCAUUACUAGGUCAGUUGUACUCGUCUUCUCAUAAGUUAUUACUGAUGAAGUAAGAAAAUCUUAAGAACCAGCUGCUUUACCUGAAUGACACGUUGAAAUCUCUUUUGUUAUAACUUGAGUAGGCUGACAUUUCUUAAAUGCUGGCAUUGAGAAAUUGAAAGGCUAUUUUUACCUCAGUUAGCUGGAAUUUUUGUCUCAUAACAUAAGCCAAGUCUAUCUUUGGAAGGUCAAAUAUCCUGGAACAACUUUCAUCUAAAUGUAGUUCCGUAGAAUUGCUCUCUGUCUAGAAUGAUUCUCUUGAAAAUAUAUGAAUUAUAUGCCAUGACAAAUCACCUAUUUGGUCACAUUUUUUCGAUGUCAGAUGUUCUUAACAGUCAAAUUUUCCAGUUUUAAAUUUUUAAGCAAACUGUAGCAUACUCAACUUCUUAAAAGAUAUAUAAUUCAAGCAAAAACUCAGCCUUUUCUGUGGACAUACAGCACACUAACGGAAUUUGAACUUCAAAUUACCAGAAAUACCAUGGUCAAAAAGCAUCUACUCAACUAUCGAAAACACCAAAUGACACAAACAUUUGAUUCCCCUAGGACCGCAACUUGGCAUUAGCUCGAGCACUCCGUGUUCUAGAUGUUGAAGUCGAAGCAAGCGUAGUUUUCUUUUCUGUUAGGGGCUCACACUCAUUAUGUGUAGAAGAUGCAUUAGUGUCCGCAGAUGUUGAAGUCGAUGCAAGUGUUUUCUUUUUUCCUGGGGGCUCAUACUCAUCAUGUGAAGAAGAUUUACUAGUGUCCUCUGAUGUCGGAGUCGCUGCAAGGUUAGGUUUCUUUGUUGGAGGGGCCUCAUACACAUCGCGUGAAGAAUAUUCUCUAGGUGUAUGCCUCUUUGUCCUGCUUCUACUUGCAACAUCAGCGUGCUCACAUUUUUUGACGAAACAUGAAGCUUCUUUCUCGCACAAGCUCUGCCUAUCAAACACUGAAACAUCAAACCUCGAUCCAUUAUACUUGAAUAUUAACAAGUCAUCUUCCUCUAGGGAAUGGGCGUCCACGAAUUCUUUCCACCCAUCUUUGAGGAAUAAUGCAUCUCCAAUUAGAGUCAGUCUGACAUUCCAAGUUGCACCACUAGGUCCUGUCAGACUAACAGAAUCUCCUAGCUUUUCUCUCAGAUUGUUGGCAAAUUUUUUGGGAAUGGCCUACAAUUUCAUCAUUUCUUGUUAAGAUUCACGUUUGGUGUAAAAUAAACUAGCUAAGAUGGAAUCCAAAUAAAUCAAAAGGAGCAAAUAGAAACAUGGAAAGUUUUCUAGUCUGCAACAACACACACACAGAGUAAAGGUUAAGGUUUGUACUUGGAAUAUUUUUUUCCCGGAUAGUGAAAAUCACUGAAGGGGAGCCUUGGAGUAACUGGUAAAGUUGCUGCCAUGUGACCGGUAGGUCACGGGUUCAAGCCUUGGAAACAGCCCCUUGGAAACAGCCCCUGACAAAAAUGCAAGGUAAGGCUGUGUACAAUAGACCCUUGUGGUGGGGCUCUUCCCCGGACACCGCGCAGAGCGGCAGCUUAGUGCACCGGGCUGCCGUUUAUAGUGAAAAUCACUAUGAACAAGGCAUCGAACUAACAUAUAGUAACACGAAAACAAUACUAUUGUUACAACAACCCAAGAUAGAAUGGGACAUUUAAACAACUAUAGUCAUAACAAAUUAUUUUCCUCGUAAUGAUGCAGAAAGCAACAAUUGACAAGUAAACCAUGAUGUUUCACAUUUAAAUUUCAGGGGAGGCAACUCAUUAUGUUAGGUGAUUUCUUUUCAUAUGUGCAAACCUUGGUGGAUAGUGUUACCAUAUUGUAGGGGAGUUGAUUUGUUAGAUGGUCAUUCAUUUAAUAAUUAUUAUUUUAGAAAGUCAGAUAAUAACUAUAGCUCAAUAACCAUAUGCGAAAUCAAUUCCCUGUGGGAUGUUCAUAAUUCGGUUAAAAAUUGAUCCAAUAGGAUUAAACAAACCAAUACUUUUAGAGGUUGAGUCAGAUUUUUAAUUUUAAAAAUCGACAACAAUAUUUGAUUUGAUUUUAUUAAAAAAACUAAAGCAGAAAUCGAACUAAACAGAAAAUUAAAUACAUAAUAUUAUAAUUAUAUAUACACAGUAUGUUUUCUUGUUAAAUUUGACAUAUCUUAUAUUUUUUUGGUCAAAAAUUUAUUUAUGAUUCAAUAAUUAUUAAGUUAAGAAAAAAAUCUUAGUCUCAAAAUUUAAUAUAAUUGCCCAACCAUAGUCGUGCUAUGUUAUUUUAUUGAUUUUGAUGAUUGUAUCUCUAUUUGAAAAGGAAAAAGGGUGUUUCAAAUUGAAUUCAAUAAAUUUACAAUUCAUCUCUCCAUUUUCUAUAAAAGGAAGGUGGGAGCAUAAUUUCGUUCCCAAUAGGGAUCUUGUUUUUUUUUUUUUUUGCCUUUUCAUUUUUUCUCAUCCGAACAUCACAACUGUAUCAACAACAACAUACCAAGUAUAUUUCAACAACGUGGAGCCUGAGAAUGGUAAAGCGUAUACAGUCUCUCCUCGUGAUCCCUGCUCCCCACAAACUUCGCAUAAGCAACCUUCUUAGUCUCCACCUUCCUCUUAACUUCUUCGUUCCACCACUAGUCCCCCCAGUCCCCCCGUUGCUUGCCCGAUCGGACUCUCGAGACACACAAUACCUCUCUAGCUGUCUCACCGAUGCAACUGAUAGUAAUCUCCCACAUACUAUCCACAUCCCCUCUAUUCUCCCAAGCCCCUUGGUCGGCAACUUCUCUCCAAUCUCCACCGCACUUGCCAAAGUCAAGCUACCUCACUUAAUUCUGGGUUGAUCCUCCAUAACCCUCUUCAUUUCCCCAUCUUGAUUUCCAAGUCCAACACCAAAAGCUUAUGUUAGAUCAAAAAGAUUCUCACUAGGUAUGACCAUACAGUCUUUACAUAGCACUCAACACUCUAUCACUCUUUCUAAGGAGCAAAAAAUCUAUUUGAAUCUCGGCCAUCGAACUACGAAAAUUAAUAAGGUGCUCUUCCUCCUUUGCGAAGAACGAAUUUACUAUCACCAAACCAAGGGCCCUAGAAAAAUCAAAAAAUGAGGCUCCUCCUCCAUUUCUUUUCCAGAAACUGAAUCCUCCCUACACAUCAUCACAACCUCUCGAUAAUAACCCGAUAUGCCCAUUGAAAUCGUCUUCUAUGAAAGGUUUCUCAGCGCUUGGAACGCCUCUCACCACCUCGUCCAGAAUCUCCAAAAUGCUCAUUUUCUCUUACUCAUCCAAGCCUAUUUGCCGAGUAUAUAUAGGCACUAAUAACGUUCCACGUAGACUCUCUAAUGACCAACUUAAUCGACAUCAACCUAUCAUUGACCCGCUUAACCUUCACCGCCUACCCCCUAAGCUCUUCAUCUAUUAAGAUACCUACCCCAUUCCUAUGCCUCACGCUACCCCAUUCCUAUGCCUCACGCUACGAGAGCACCACAACUUGUACCCAUUCACAUCCUUCGCCUUAGACCCUACCCAUUUGGUCUCCUGGACACAAGCUAUACCAAUCCUCUUCUUCCUAAGAAUCUUCAUGAGAUAUAUAGACUUACCUUGAAGAGUUCCUAUGUUUCAAAACCCAACUUUCAACCUAUAGGCUCCCUUAUCACACUUAUCCCUACUACCCUUCACCUCCAAUCCAAGCUCGACCCUGACCCUGACCUCAGCCUGAACCUCAAUCUCAGCCCCAACCCCGACCAAUGACAUGACCCUAGUCUACCAUCGACCACCAAAUCCACUACUCAAUAAGAGAAAAAAUAAAAAGGCGUGCAAAUAGGUAAAGUUCAGCAACAACAACAAAAAAAACAUACCCGGUGGAAAAUAAAAUUUGAACUCUUUAGCAACAACAAAAACAACACAUAGCAAAAAGGUAAAGUCACUCUUUUCCCCCAAAAAAAAUUCUGAAAAUUAUUUUUUAAAAAAUCAAUAAGGACUUGAAAUUCCGCUAAAUUUCCUCCACAUAGCAAGCCUCAUUAGAAAAUAAAAUGAGCUUUUACACUUACAAGUUGUUGAUCAAAAAUUCCAGAGAGAAUCUGAAAAAAUUGAACCACUUGAAACUCUGACCAGUACAUUUGCUCUUUCCAUUUCUUGCAAAUCUUACACUCACUCCUCAUUCUGCUAAAGGAAAAAAACUGAGUGAAAAAAAUGGAAAAUAAGAAUUUCUUUUUUGCAAAUCCUCUAUUCGAUAUAUUGAUAGUUCUAGGGAGAAGUUGAUAAGGUACGGCAUCGAGAUUCGAGACUAGUGGUGUACGAAUUAUGAAAGCAUUGUUUUCGUUGCACUAUAAAUAUGACAAUAAAAUAAGAACAACGGAGAAGGGAAAAGAAAGGAAAUUAUGUGUGCACUAUAAAGAAAAUCAAAAAGAAGAGAAAAGUUGCAAAAUUUUAUAGGAUCUUCCUUAGACCUUCCGGGAGGAACUGAGGUUGGGACAAGAGAAUCAGAUGUUAGGGAAACAUUGUUGCGUCAGUCGAAAUUAGGGCUUAUCUAAUUGAAUCAGAAAAGCACAUACAUGUAAAAUGACGAAAUUCUUUCAGUGAGAGAAUCACUUGUUAGAUUAAAUCCAAGGAUAGGUUUGAUUGACAGGGUGUUGGAUCUAACGAACAACGAGUAGUUUCUUAAUGAGCGAAUUCAGUCCUAUAAUCAUCACGAAAAAUGCACAAUGGGAAGGGAUGUUGGUCUGCUUAGACUGAAGAAGCAGCGGCUAUCAUUUCUGAAAUAUAAAAUCAAGAACAACCUUCGAAUAACAGAGGAAUAAAGCUAUUAAAAAAAGAAUUUUCCAAGAAUAGAAAAUUGUAAUCCCUUUCUGGUGCCAAAUACUUACAUUGGUAAUAUCGAAAAUAAAUGAAAAGAGAUUGGUGUCGACUUCCAGAAAGUCUGAAACUCUUGCCCCCACUAGAUCUUUUAUCUCAAUCGUGUCAUCACGGUAGUAAUGUAUAUCCAAUCUUUAGAUUUUUUCCUUUUCAAUGAAGGCGAUUUCUAUCUUUGCAAUUCUUUAAUUUCUUUCUUAAGCAACUUAUUAGCUUGAAAUCAUUCGUUUCUUUUAAAACUUUUAUCAUUUAGUAGGCUUUCACGUGGCGCAAAUUCAUAUUAGUAUGCACUAAAUAUAAAAUAUAAAAUGGUCAACUAAAGUCUCAAAGGACUAUAAAAUCUACUUCCAUUCCAACUCUAGUACUCUUUUGCCAUUUUCAACUCCCAAUGCUCUUUUUGUUGAUACUCUUUAGACUUUCAAGUCUCUCUAAUUCUCCAAGUUUAUAAUCAACAUUUCUACAAUAAGAUGAAUUCUUAAUUAAAAAAAUAAAAUAAAAAGUGUUCUAUUCUUCAAAGAUUUGAAAUCACAUAAAUAUUCAUGAUUAAAGUCUCCUUAUUUCUCAGUCCUAAGCUAAGUCUUCUUCAAUGACCGAUCACUUUUUAGCAAAUUUAAGUAAAGUCUUAAAGGAAACAAAAGAUUUCAAGCUAACAAGCUGCUUAAGAAAGAAAUUAAAGAGUUGAAAAGACGUUUGAGAAAGAAAAAAUCUAAAGAUUGGACAUACAUCACUAUCGUGAUGACACGAUUGAGAUGAGAGAUCUGGUAGGGCCUUUAGGAAAAUUCAAGAGUUUCAGACUUUCUAGAAGUCGACACUGAUCUUUUUUCAUUUGUUUUUGAAAUUACCAAUGUAAGUAUUUGACACCCAAAAGGGAUUGCGAUUUUAUAUUCUUGGAGAAUUGCUUUUUUUAAUAGCCUUAUUCCUCCUUUAUCCGAAGGUUGUUCUUGAUUCUUGAUUUCAGCAAUGGUAGUCGCUGCUUCUUCAGUCUAUGCACACUAGCAUGCCUUCCUAAUGUGCAUUUUUCGAACAAAGAAGACGAUUAUAGGAUUGAAUUCGCUCAUUAAGAAACCACCCGUUGUUUGUUCGAUCCAACACCGUGCCAAUCAAACCUAUCCUUGGAUUUAAUCCAACAAGUGAUUCUCUCCAUGAAAGAAUUCCGUCGUCUCACAUGUAUGUGCUUUUCUGAUUCAAUUACAUAAUCCCUAAUUUCGACCGACUGAACAAUCUUUCCCAAACAUUAGAUUCUCUUGUUCCAAUCUCAUUCCUCCCAAAAGGUCAAAAGAGCCUAUAAAAUUUGGCAACUUUUCUCUUCGUUUUGAUUCUCUUUCUAGUGCACACAUAAUUUUCUUUCUUUUUCCUUCCUCCGUUGUCCUUAUUGUAUUGACAUAUUUAUAGUGCGAUGAAACCAAUGUUUUCGUAAUUCAUACACCACUAGUUCCGAAUCUCGAUACCGCAUCUUAUCAACUUUUCCCUAGAACUAUCAAUAUACCGAAUAGAGGAUUUGCAAAAAAGAAAUUCUUUAUUUUCCAUUUUUUCACUCAGUUUUUCUUUUCCUUUAGCAGAAUGAGGAGUGAGAGUAAGAUUUGCAAGAAAUGGAAAGAGCAGAUGUGAGGUUCAAUUUUUCAGAUUCUCUCCGGAACUUUUGAUCAACAACUUGUUAGUGUAAAAGUUCCUUUUAUUUUCUAAUGAGGCUUGCUAUGUGGAAGAAAUUUAGCAAAAUUUCAAGUCCCCUCUGAUGUUUUAAAAAAUGAUCUUCAGAAUUUUUUUGCGAAAAAUUGUCACUUUACCUUUAUGCUAUGUGUUGUUUCCAUUGUUAUAGAGUACAGAUUUUAUUUUUACACUGGGUAUGUUGUUGUUGUAGAGUUCAGAUUUUUGAGUGUUAGUUCAGAUUAGUGCUUUCGUCUUGAUAUUCUUUCUUGUGUUCCCCGAUUUCUAGCAGAUUCCAUAUUAGGGCGUGUUAUAAACCAUUGUUUCCUUUUAAGACUUGCCUAUUUGUUUUUUAGCCUUAUCUAUUUGUGCGCUUUCUUAUUUGUUCCUCUUAUUGAGUAGUGGCUUUGGUGGUUAAUGGUAGACUAGGGUCAUGUGAUACGUCGGGGUUAGGAUGGGGUUGUGAUCGAGGUCAGGGUGAGGUCAAGGUCAAGUUCAGGAUCAGGGUCUGGGUUAGGGUUGAGCUUGGGGUUGAGGGUGAAGGGCAGUAGGGAUAAGUGGGAUAAGAGAGCCUAUAGGUUAAGAGUUGGGUAGUGGAACUCUUCAAGGUAAGUCCAUAGAGCUUAUAACACUAUCCACCAAGGUUUGGACAUAUGAAAAGAAAUCACUUAAUGUCUUGCCUCCGGUGAAAUUUAAAUCUGAGACAUCAUGGUUUACUUGUCAAUUGUUGCUUUUACGGAGGCGCUACCCUCGAAGAAUAACUUGUUCACUUGUUCUGCAUCAUUACGAGGAAAAUAAUUUGUUAUGCAUAUAGUUGUAUAAACAUCCCAUUUCUAUCUUGGGUUGUUGUAACAAUAGUAUUGUUUUAGUGUUACUGUAUGUUAGUUCGAUGUCUUGUUCAUAGCAAUUUUCACUAUCUGGAAAGAAAACUAUUCCAAGUACAAAUCUUUACUCUACUGUGUGGUGCUGCAGACUAGAAAACUUUCCAUGUUUCUAUUUGCUCCUUUUGAUUUAUUUGGAUUUUGGCCAAUCUUAGCUAGUUUAUUUCACACAAAACGUGAAUCUUAACAAGGAAUGAUGAAAUUGCAGGCCAUUCCCAAAUUUGCCAACAAUCUGAGAGAAAAGCUAGGAGAUUCUGUUAGACUGACAGGACCUAGUGGCGCAACUUGGAAUGUCGGACUGACUCUAAUUAGAGAUACAUUAUUCCUCAAACAUGGGUGGAAAGAAUUCGUGGGCACGCCCAUUCCCUUGAGGAAGAUGACUUGUUAAUAUUCAAGUAGAAUGGAUCCUCGAGGUUUGAUGUUUCAGUGUUUGAUAGGCAGAGCUCGUGUGAGAGAGAAGCUUCAUGUUUCGUCAAAAAAUGUGGGCAUGCUGAUGUUACAAGUGGAAGCAGGACAAAGAGGCAUACACGUAGAGAAUAUUCUUCACGUGAUGUGUCUGAGGCCCCUCCAACAAAGAAACCUAAGCUUGCAGCGACUCCGACAUCAGAGGACACUAGUAAAUCUUCUUCACAUGAUGAGUAUGAGCCCCCAACAAAAAAGAAAACACUUGCAUCGACUUCAACAUCUGCGGACACUAAUGAAUCUUCUUCACAUAAUGAGUAUGAACCCCCAACAAAAAGACAACUAAGCUUGCAUCGACUUCAACAUCUAGAGCACGG